GAUGAACGCUAGCGGCAGGCCUAACACAUGCAAGUCGAGGGAUAAGCCUUCGGGCUAAGACCGGCGCACGGGUGCGUAACGCGUAUACAAUCUGCCUUUUAUCCGGGGGAUAGCCCGAAGAAAUUUGGAUUAAUACCCUAUGGUAUAAGAGCACGGCAUCGUGCACUUAUUAAAGCUACGGCGGUAAAAGAUGAGUAUGCGUUCUAUUAGCUAGUUGGAGAGGUAACGGCUCCCCAAGGCGACGAUAGAUAGGGGUUCUGAGAGGGAUGUCCCCCACACUGGUACUGAGAUACGGACCAGACUCCUACGGGAGGCAGCAGUGAGGAAUAUUGGACAAUGGUCGGAAGACUGAUCCAGCCAUGCCGCGUGCAGGAUGACGGCCUUAUGGGUGGUAAACUGCUUUUGUAAGGGAAGAAUAAGGAGUACGUGUACUUUGAUGACGGUACCUUACGAAUAAGCAUCGGCUAACUCCGUG
Molecule: ribosomal RNA, 475 nt
Filed under: uncultured bacterium
Lineage: Bacteria
Description: partial 16S ribosomal RNA
Rfam family: Bacterial small subunit ribosomal RNA
Source: RNAcentral